GACGUAGGGGGCGAGCGUUAUCCGGAUUGAUUGGGUGUAAAGGGUGAGUAGGCGGUUAACUAAGUCAUAUGUUAAAAAUUACAGCUCAACUGUAGUAUAGCAUAAGAAACUAGUUAACUAGAGUGCAGGAGAGGUAAGCGGAAUUCCUAGUGUAGCGGUGAAAUGCGUAGAUAUUAGGAAGAACACCAGUGGCGAAGGCGGCUUACUGGACUGUAACAGACGCUGAGGCACGAAAGCGUGGGGAGCAAAC
Molecule: ribosomal RNA, 250 nt
Filed under: uncultured prokaryote
Description: partial 16S ribosomal RNA
Rfam family: Bacterial small subunit ribosomal RNA
Source: RNAcentral